GUUUGUGGCCAUACCGGAUUGUCAAAAGCCUGAUGUUGUCAGAUCUCACAUCUCAGAGCCUAAGCAAGACCGGGCCUGGUUAGAACGUGGAUGGGGGACUGCUGGGAAUACCAGGUGCCACAGUGG
This 126-nucleotide ribosomal RNA is filed under the name Periophthalmus magnuspinnatus. The record is from RNAcentral. Lineage: Eukaryota; Metazoa; Chordata; Actinopteri; Gobiiformes; Gobiidae.